CUGCCCCUAUUUUUACUGAGAUCCGUCGAAGUAUUGUUGGUGUGAAAGGUAACCUUGGAUCACUUAAAUUCACAACCAAUUUGUGAAUUUUGAUUUCGGUUUGCUUAUUUGGAUUGUUUCGUGGACGAUAGUUGAUUAAGGGAGCUUCCCUAACUUUGAGGCAAAGGUAAUAAAGGCAGCAAACCGGCGAGGGGCAGGAAGGAAGCGUGACCGCCACAGGGGACACUUUAAAAUUUUGCUUCCGCUUAGUGAUUUAUAGUAUUAUUUGUAUUCGAACGUGAGACUGUUUAGAAAAUUUUGAAGUUUUAAAGUAUUCAAAGAUUUGAAACUUUUUAGUUUUAAA
Molecule: long non-coding RNA, 343 nt
Organism: Cucumis sativus (cucumber)
Lineage: Eukaryota; Viridiplantae; Streptophyta; Magnoliopsida; Cucurbitales; Cucurbitaceae
Exons: 3
Source: RefSeq, a predicted model, not a curated record